This 314-nucleotide long non-coding RNA is filed under the name Vombatus ursinus (common wombat). RNAcentral describes it as "lncRNA (ENSVURG00010007948.1)". The record is from RNAcentral. Lineage: Eukaryota; Metazoa; Chordata; Mammalia; Diprotodontia; Vombatidae.
UGAAAAUUAACACCCUCAUCCCUGGUUUGACAUCUGGAAACGGGGAAGCCGAGCCUACUUCAUUAAAGAAGAACAGAUCAUUUCUCCCCGGAUAAUCCCAACAUCCCCCUCGUUCUUUUCAGUUCUGGAAUAUUCCCCUCAAUCAUCCUCCCCAGUGUGGAACUGGAAGAACUGGAAGCACCACAGAUUGGGACACUGAGGAGCAGAAACUUUCCCCGGCAUGGGAGGGUUUUGCUUUUGUUCUCAAGGAGUGCAGCAGCCAGCGUCAACACUUUUCUGCACGAAAUGUAUGUUAUAUCUAUGUCUAUCUACAC